CAAGUCGAGCGGAGAUAGUGGAACAUGCUCCAUUAUCUUAGCGGCGGACGGGUGAGUAACACGUGGGCAACCUGCCCUGCAGAUCGGGAUAACUCCGGGAAACCGGUGCUAAUACCGAAUAGUUUGCGGCCUCUCAUGAGGCUGCACGGAAAGACGGUUUCGGCUGUCACUGCAGGAUGGGCCCGCGGCGCAUUAGCUAGUUGGUGAGGUAACGGCUCACCAAGGCCACGAUGCGUAGCCGACCUGAGAGGGUGAUCGGCCACACUGGGACUGAGACACGGCCCAGACUCCUACGGGAGGCAGCAGUAGGGAAUCUUCCGCAAUGGACGAAAGUCUGACGGAGCAACGCCGCGUGAGUGAAGAAGGUUUUCGGAUCGUAAAACUCUGUUGUGAGGGAAGAACAAGUACCAACUAACUACU
RNAcentral lists this ribosomal RNA (420 nucleotides) under Planococcus rifietoensis. RNAcentral's name for it is "bacterial SSU rRNA". It matches the Rfam family "Bacterial small subunit ribosomal RNA", at positions 58 to 468 of the family's 1533-position model. The record is from RNAcentral. Lineage: Bacteria; Bacillati; Bacillota; Bacilli; Caryophanales; Caryophanaceae.